GGAUAUAAGAUUUGGCUGCGACAUUGGUCGCCCCAUGGAUCACCAGGUUGAUUGGCUGAUGUGACUGUCUAGGUAGGUGUCCUCUUCCUCCCUCAGCACUCCAUGUAUGUCCCUCCCAAAGCUGUGUGCUCAGUCGAAGAGGACGACCAUCCCCGAUAGAGGAGGACCAGUCUCUGGUCAAGGGUAUACAAGUAGCUGCGCUCCCCUGCUAGCACCCCCAAACAAGCUCUCACUUUAUUCAUUAUGGAAGGACUGUCAAAUGCCAUCAUUUUGUGUAGAUGAACUUGGACGUUUCAUGUUAAAAAAACAU
Piliocolobus tephrosceles (Ugandan red Colobus) is the source of this 310-nucleotide unclassified non-coding RNA. Its record names the gene 7SK. It matches the Rfam family "7SK RNA". Rfam says of the family: 7SK was discovered as an abundant small nuclear RNA in the mid-70s but a possible function has only recently been suggested. Two independent studies have found that 7SK RNA binds the CDK9/cyclin T complex (known as elongation factor P-TEFb). P-TEFb activates transcription by phosphorylating the C-terminal domain of RNA polymerase II. The record is from Ensembl. NCBI's taxonomy places the organism in Eukaryota, Metazoa, Chordata, Mammalia, Primates, Cercopithecidae.